CACACACCACACCACACACACCACACACACCACCACACGCACACCACCACACACCACCACACACACACACCCCACACACACCACACACACCACACCACACACACCACACACACACACCACACACACCACACACACCACACACACCACGCACAUCACACACACCACACACACACACCACACACACAUGUAAUAGAGACACAGUAUAUAGACUACUAUAAUAGACUACUAUAAUAGACUACUAUAAUAGACUACUGUAAUAGACUACUAUAGUAGACACAGUAUAUAGACUACUAUAAUAGACUACUAUAAUAGACUACUGUAAUAGACUACUGUAAUAGACUACUGUAAUAGACUACUAUAGUAGACACAGUAUAUAGACUACUGUAAUAGACUACUAUAAUAGACUACUAUAAUAGACUACUAUAAUAGACACAGUAUAUAGACUACUAUAAUAGACUACUAUAAUAGACUACUGUAGUAGACUACUGUAAUAGACUACUGUAAUAGACUACUGUAAUAGACUACCGUAAUAGACUACCGUAAUAGACUACCGUAAUAGACUACUGUAAUAGACUACUAUAAUAGACUACUGUAAUAGACUACUGUAGUAGACACAGUAUAUAGACUACUGUAAUAGACUACCGUAAUAGACUACUGUAAUAGACUACUAUAAUAGACUACUGUAAUAGACUACUGUAAUAGACUACUGUAAUAGACUACCGUAAUAGACUACUGUAAUAGACUACCAUAAUAGACUACUAUAAUAGACACAGUAUAUAGGCUACUGUAAUAGACUACUUAUAUAGACUACUGUAAUAGACUACCGUAAUAGACUACCGUAAUAGACUACUGUAAUAGACUACUGUAAUAGACUACUGUAAUAGACUACUGUAAUAGACUACUGUAAUAGACACAGUAUAUAGACUACUGUAAUAGACUACUGUAAUAGACUACUGUAAUAGACUACUGUAAUAGACUACUGUAAUAGACUACUGUAAUAGACUACUGUAAUAGACUACCGUAAUAGACUACCGUAAUAGACUACUGUAAUAGAGACCCAUUUUGUAAUGGCUGUGGAAAGGAAAUCUAUGAGGGUUCAGGCGGUUGAUCUUGGGUCAGAGUACCGGGUCAGAAUACCGGGUCAGAGUACCGGGUCAGAGUACCGGGUCAGAAUAAAGCUAGUCCGUUAUGGACUAGUGAACCGGGUCAGAUCAAAGUUAGUCCGUUAUGGACUAGUGAACUUGGGAAGUGUCGCUGGACAGAAUGGAAGUUAAUAAAGCAACUGACUAACCUGACAAUGGAUAACCAGGACACAC
Molecule: long non-coding RNA, 1316 nt
Filed under: Salmo salar (Atlantic salmon)
Lineage: Eukaryota; Metazoa; Chordata; Actinopteri; Salmoniformes; Salmonidae
Description: lncRNA (ENSSSAG00000120050.1)
Source: RNAcentral